AGGAGUUUGAUCCUGGGCUCAGGAUGAACGCUAGCGGCAGGCUUAAUACAUGCAAGUCGUGGGGCAGCAGGGGUGUAGCAAUACACUCGCUGGCGACCGGCAAACGGGUGCGGAACACGUACGCAAUCUACCCAAAACUGGUGAAUAGCCCUCCGAAAGGAGGAUUAAUACACCGUAACCUAUUGAAGUGGCAUCACUUUAUUAGUAUAGCUCCGGCGGUUUUGGAUGAGCGUGCGGCUGAUUAGGUAGUUGGCGGGGUAACGGCCCACCAAGCCUGCGAUCAGUAACUGGUGUGAGAGCACGACCAGUCACACGGGCACUGAGACACGGGCCCGACUCCUACGGGAGGCAGCAGUAAGGAAUAUUGGUCAAUGGACGCAAGUCUGAACCAGCCAUGCCGCGUGGAGGAUGAAGGCCCUCUGGGUUGUAAACUUCUUUUAUCUGGGACGAAACCCUCAUAUUCUUAUGAGACUGACGGUACCAGAGGAAUAAGCACCGGCUAACUCCGUGCCAGCAGCCGCGGUAAUACGGAGGGUGCAAGCGUUAUCCGGAUUCACUGGGUUUAAAGGGUGCGUAGGAGGGCAGGUAAGUCAGUGGUGAAAUCUCCAAGCUUAACUUGGAAACUGCCGUUUGAUACUAUCUGUCUUGAAUAUUGUGGAGGUGAGCGGAAUAUGUCAUGUAGCGGUGAAAAUGCUUAGAUUUGACAUAGAACACCAAUUUGCGAAGGCAGUCANUACUCAAUUAUUGACUCUGAGGCACGAAAGCGUGGGGAUCAAACAGGAUUUAGAUACCCUGGUAGUCCAGCCCUUAAA
Molecule: ribosomal RNA, 812 nt
Filed under: uncultured Bacteroidota bacterium
Lineage: Bacteria; Pseudomonadati; Bacteroidota
Description: bacterial SSU rRNA
Rfam family: Bacterial small subunit ribosomal RNA
Source: RNAcentral